GUCCAAAUGUCAUUGGGUGCAUCGAUGGCACCCUUAUUCCAAUUAAGGGACCAAGUGGCGCAGAUGAGCCAUCUAAUGUAUGCCGGAAAGGCUACCAUGCCAUUAAUGUGCAGGCUGUCUGAAAUGCCGAAAUGAGAUUUACAAAUGUUGUGGGGAGAUGGCCAGGUCGCACACAUGAUGCAUUUAUACUGGCCAACUCAUCACUACACGCAACAGUAGGAACUGAAAAUGAUGGAUGGCUUUUUUGGGAUUCAGGAUAUCCCCUAAAAAGUGGCUCAUGACAUUCAUUCUGCAUAUCCAAUCAGAGCAAGAACAGCGGUACAAUAAUGCGCAUGCAUCAACAAGGAACUGUGUUGAAAGAGCUUUUGGAUUGUUAAAAGCCAGAUUUAGAUGCCUACUCAAGACAGCUGGUGCAUUGCCUUGCUCCCCAGAAAAGUCAGUCAAAAUAAUUGACUUUUGUUUUAAGCUACACAAUGAGGCAAUGAAGCAUAAUCUGCCUCUAUCAAAUGCCAGAAACAUCUUGUUGGAUAAUAACAAUACACAGGCACUUCAAGAGUUAGGAGGUGAUGCAUUUGAAGCCAGAAGAAGACUUGUUUUAAGAUUUUAAGGGAAAAAAAAACUUUUUAGUUUCUAGAACCUGAAAGUUUAAAAUAUGAUAGAAUAUGCAAGAAAAAUAACUGACAUAUGUUUGCGGUUUGGAUCGGAAUGCCCAUCCCUCAAGAAUGUGUCCAUGGGCAGUAACAAGGCUUGCCAAAUUACUGCCCAAUUGGCAGGUCCUGUUAGGACAAAUAUUUCAGUCUGAAAUGCAACAUGUGAUAGGCAGUGGUAACAGUGGUUUCCCCUUAAAAGAAAAUACACGAAACAACAAGUAUCCAACCCAAAGAAAAGAAAUUACCGAUCGCAAACGUUUACCCAGGCUUCUCGCUUGACACUACUUGUGAGAACAUGGGAGAAUAUUUCCCCCCGUACCACUGUAAUGGAUGCUUUUAUGGUUUCGGACAGAGCCAUCAGCUCAGCAUCUGUCCAGUUUGCCUUUCCCCUAGAUUCGCUGGCUGCAUCCACUUUGUUGACAGACGACAUUGACAUAUUGCGGGAUUAUGCGUGUGCCGUUGUAUUUCGUAACUUUUUUCAGGAGAGCGAAAUGGUCUUAAGUCCUAAGUUUACGACAAAAGAUAGGACAGUCACUUGAAACGGUCUUAAGUGCAAAAACUUUUCUCCUAAAGUGGGUCAUAAGUCCUAGGGAUUUAGGAUUAACUUAAGACCCUCCAUUAAAUGCAGCCCAGUUAAGAUUAGUAUAAGGACCUUAAAUCUAGUACCGGGACCCUGAGAUUUCAGACCAAUGGGUGCUUAGAUUUAAAGAACAACAUAAAACUUGCUCUAGGAAAUGCUGAGGUGAAGUUUAUAUAAAUCAUGAUGUUUGUUAUAAUAUAAUUAUGUAAUCUUUACAUGAGAUAUUAUUAUCAGCGGUCAAUGAAGAGUUGAUGCAAUUUUUUCAUGUAUUAACAUCUGCAGAGACAAGAUGUUACAUUUAGAGGCAAAGCCAACAGAGUAAGUCAUUAAAUGAAUUUGAUGACUCAAUUAGUUUCUUAUACAAAAAUUAACAAUUGCAAUGUUGAUUACAAACAAUUUUUUUGCUACAAGUUAAUUAUUAAGGAACAAGAAAUGUACCACAAGAUUGAUAAAAUUCAAUAAAUUGUUUCAUUUUUAAUUCUUGAAUAUCUGUCAGUGGAGAUGCGCAGUGGUUAAUGUAAUUUUUGUCUUUUUUUUCCAUUUAUGAUUUCUGUCAAAGACAAUGAUUAUUGGACAAUAUCAUUGGACAAAGCAAUGUGAGUACUGGAAAUUUCCUAUGUUUUACAGAAAAUGACAGUAAGGGGAUGGUGGGGGAUGCUACAAAACAAACAGUUGGGGCCAAUCAUAUAAUAAAGGCCAUGAAGGAACUACAUGUACUAGAAAAAAAUCCUGAUGCAUUGUCGGAACCCAUGAAUACAGAUUUCGCUGAACUACAUUCAUCACGAAUGAAGUGUAUACAUAACAAGUACGCAUGUGUUACCGGGGAUGAUCCUGAUGAUGCCUUAUAAGUUACAGUAAGUGUUUUUGAAUUAACAGAUAAGUCAGCUGAAAAUUUUCUUCAUAGAAUAAUAUUAACGAUGAAUGCAUUAGCAGCUCUGAACAAGAAGCAUCUAAAUUUGAAUUUAAAUUAUAUUGGGUGUCAGCAACAGAGUGCUUGGAGUCAUAAGAUUAUAUUGAAUUCUUUGUUCAUGUAACAGUGUUUACCAUAUCAAGCUAAACCAUACAAAAACUUAGUGGUUUUAUUUAGGGGGUUGUUUGUGCCUACAAUAAUGCACCAGGGACAACUGACGUACUUUGUUCUGGACAAAACUCUGUAACUAACAAGAGGUAUCAACAAAAAACUCUGUAGGUAGAUAGAUCUUAUUGAGUGGAUGUGCAGUGCUGAAACAUCAUAAUUAUCUCUUAUGAGUAACUUCCCUUUGUUUUUUUUCAUAUUUGAUUUUUUCCACAGUGUAAAUUCAAUUGUAUGAAAACUACUGACUUGAAACUUCACAGGUGGAUAGAUCUCAUAGAAGAGAAGUGCAGUGCACAAGAACCAUAACUCUUUGCUUCAUAAUUUUGGAGUUACUGCCCUUUGUUAUCCCCCGCCAAAAGGCGGCGGGGGAUAUAGAAAUAGUCUCCGUCCGUCUGUCCUUCUGCACUCACAGGACAGUAAUUAAGUGGCUAGAGGGACAAUUGGUAACUAUUCUUCCUAUUUGAUGUCAUUCAUUUCGUAAUGCUUUUAUGUGGCUAUUUUCUUUUGUGUGGCUAAAAAGAACAAUAGAGAGAACAAUAGAGAAGCCACAUAAUGACUGUAUCUCAAAAAGUAUUUGAGGUAUCAACUUAAAACUUCAUAGGUAGAUAGAUCAUAUUGAGGAGGAGUGCAGUGUAUAAGAAUGAUAACACUAUCCUGCUUAA
This is a long non-coding RNA of Ruditapes philippinarum (Manila clam), 2967 nucleotides long. RefSeq lists it as uncharacterized. The record is from RefSeq and is a predicted model, not a curated record. NCBI's taxonomy places the organism in Eukaryota, Metazoa, Mollusca, Bivalvia, Venerida, Veneridae. The transcript has 3 exons.